Molecule: ribosomal RNA, 468 nt
Filed under: uncultured bacterium
Lineage: Bacteria
Description: partial 16S ribosomal RNA
Rfam family: Bacterial small subunit ribosomal RNA
Source: RNAcentral
GACGAACGCUGGCGGCGUGCUUAACACAUGCAAGUCGAACGGAAAGGCCCUGCUUUUGUGGGGUGCUCGAGUGGCGAACGGGUGAGUAACACGUGAGUAACCUGCCCUUGACUUUGGGAUAACUUCAGGAAACUGGGGCUAAUACCGGAUAGGAGCUCCUGCUGCAUGGUGGGGGUUGGAUAGUUUCGGCGGUUGGGGAUGGACUCGCGGCUUAUCAGCUUGUUGGUGGGGUAGUGGCUUACCAAGGCUUGGACGGGUAGCCGGCCUGAGAGGGUGACCGGCCACGUUGGGACUGAGUUACGGCCCAGACUCCUACGGGAGGCAGCAGUGGGGAAUAUUGCACAAUGGGCGGAAGCCUGAUGCAGCAACGCCGCGUGCGGGAUGACGGCCUUCGGGUUGUAAACCGCUGUCGCCUGUGACGAAGCGUGAGUGACGGUAAUGGGUAAAGAGGCACCGGCUAACUACGUG